CCUACGGGGGGCUGCAGUAAGGAAUAUUGGUCAAUGGACGAAAGUCUGAACCAGCCAUGCCGCGUGGAGGAUGAAGGUCCUCUGGAUUGUAAACUUCUUUUAUAUGGGACGAAAAAAGGCUUUUCUAAGUCGUCUGACGGUACCAUAUGAAUAAGCACCGGCUAACUCCGUGCCAGCAGCCGCGGUAAUACGGAGGGUGCAAGCGUUAUCCGGAUUCAAUGGGGUGAAGGGGUGCGGAGAAGUGUGUGGAGAAAUCCCCGAGCUUAACUUGGGAACUGCCAUUGAUACUAUCAGUCUUGAAUACCGUGGAGGUCAGCGGAAUAUGUCAUGUAGCGGUGAAAUGCUUAGAUAUGUCAUAGAACACCAAUUGCGAAGGCAGCUGGCUACCCGAAUAUUGACACUGAGGCACGAAAGCGUGGGGAUCAAACAGGAUUAGAUACCCGUGUAGUC
RNAcentral lists this ribosomal RNA (450 nucleotides) under uncultured bacterium. RNAcentral describes it as "partial 16S ribosomal RNA". It matches the Rfam family "Bacterial small subunit ribosomal RNA", at positions 338 to 795 of the family's 1533-position model. The record is from RNAcentral.